This is a long non-coding RNA of Haliotis rubra (blacklip abalone), 732 nucleotides long. RefSeq lists it as uncharacterized. NCBI's taxonomy places the organism in Eukaryota, Metazoa, Mollusca, Gastropoda, Lepetellida, Haliotidae. The transcript is spliced from 2 exons. The record is from RefSeq and is a predicted model, not a curated record.
UUGUAUAGAUAUGAUCAUGUAUGUCCCAGUGUAGACAACUACCGGGUUGGUGUGUGACAGGGAACUCAGAGGCACUGCUGUGUGUGUUGGUGUUAUAAUGUACAUAUUGUAUAGAUAUGAUCAUGUAUGUCCCAGUGUAGACAACUACCAGGGUUGGUGUGUGACAGGGAACUCAGAGGCACUGCUGUGUGUGGUGGUGUUAUAAUGUACAUAUUGUAUAUAUGAUCAUGUAUGUCCCAGUGUAGACAACUACCAGGGUUGGUGUGUGACAGGGAACUCAGAGGCACUGCUGUGUCAUGUGGUGUUAUAAUGUACAUAUUGUAUAGAUAUGAUCAUGUAUGUCCCAGUGUAGACAACUACCAGGGUUGGUGUGUGACAGGGAACUCAGAGGCACUGCUGUGUCGUGUGGUGUUAUAAUGUACAUAUUGUAUAUAUGAUCAUGUAUGUCCCAGUGUAGACAACUACCAGGGUUGGUGUGUGACAGGGAGCUCAGAGGCACUGCUGUCAUGUGGUGGUGUUAUAAUGUACAUAUGGUAUAGAUAUGAUCAUGUAUGUCCCAGUGUAGACAACUACCAGGGGUUUUUCUUUAAUGUACAGGUAACUCUGAGGCAGAGCAGUAUGAUUUGGGGCCUUUUUCUGUUCUAAUGUACAAUUUGCAUCCAUAUCUUUUAGUAUGAACAAACACUGGGAGAUUUGACUCUGAAUCCUGUUUCAAUAAAUUUUAUGCCACUA